GGCGAGUGAAGCGGCAAAAGCUCAAAUUUGAAAUCUGGUACCUUCGGUGCCCGAGUUGUAAUUUGGAGAGGGCAACUUUGGGGCCGUUCCUUGUCUAUGUUCCUUGGAACAGGACGUCAUAGAGGGUGAGAAUCCCGUGUGGCGAGGAGUGCGGUUCUUUGUAGAGUGCCUUCGAAGAGUCGAGUUGUUUGGGAAUGCAGCUCUAAGUGGGUGGUAAAUUCCAUCUAAAGCUAAAUAUUGGCGAGAGACCGAUAGCGAACAAGUACAGUGAUGGAAAGAUGAAAAGAACUUUGAAAAGAGAGUGAAAAAGUACGUGAAAUUGUUGAAAGGGAAGGGCAUUUGAUCAGACAUGGUGUUUUGUGCCCUCUGCUCCUUGUGGGUAGGGGAAUCUCGCAUUUCACUGGGCCAGCAUCAGUUUUGGUGGCAGGAUAAAUCCAUAGGAAUGUAGCUUGCCUCGGUAAGUAUUAUAGCCUGUGGGAAUACUGCCAGCUGGGACUGAGGACUGCGACGUAAGUCAAGGAUGCUGGCAUAAUGGUUAUAUGCCGCCC
Molecule: ribosomal RNA, 548 nt
Filed under: Saccharomyces cerevisiae (brewer's yeast)
Lineage: Eukaryota; Fungi; Ascomycota; Saccharomycetes; Saccharomycetales; Saccharomycetaceae
Description: partial large subunit ribosomal RNA
Rfam family: Eukaryotic large subunit ribosomal RNA
Source: RNAcentral